UACGUAGGGAGCAAGCGUUGUCCGGAAUCAUUGGGCGUAAAGCGCGCGUAGGCGGCGCGGUAAGUCACUUGUGAAAUCUCUGAGCUUAACUCAGAACGGCCAAGUGAUACUGCAGUGCUAGAGUGUGGAAGGGGCAAUCGGAAUUCUUGGUGUAGCGGUGAAAUGCGUAGAUAUCAAGAGGAACACCUGAGGUGAAGACGGGUUGCUGGGCCAACACUGACGCUGAGGCGCGAAAGCCAGGGGAGCAAACGGG
RNAcentral lists this ribosomal RNA (253 nucleotides) under uncultured bacterium. Its description in RNAcentral is "partial 16S ribosomal RNA". It matches the Rfam family "Bacterial small subunit ribosomal RNA", at positions 524 to 776 of the family's 1533-position model. The record is from RNAcentral.